ACAUCUAGUAUCCAUAGUUUACGGCUAGGACUACUGGGGUAUCUAAUCCCAUUUGCUACCCUAGCUUUCGUCUCUGAGUGUUAGUAAUAGCCCAGUAAAGUGCUUUCGCCAUCGGUGUUCUUUCCAAUAUCUACGCAUUUCACCGCUCCACUGGAAAUUCCCUUUACCUCUACUAUACUCUAGUCUAAUAGUUUCGACUGCGAUUUUGAAGUUGAGCCUCAAGAUUUAACAGUUGACUUAUUAAACCACCUACAGACGCUUUACGCCCAGUGAUUCCGGAUAACACUUGCAUCCUCCGUCUUACCGCGGCUGCUGGCACGGAGUUAGCCGAUGCUUAUUCUUCAGGUACACGUCAUUUAUUCCUCCCUGAAAAAAGAGGUUUACAACCCAUAGGCAGUCUUCCCUCACGCUGUAUUGCUCCGUCAGGCUUUCGCCCAUUGCGGAAAAUUCCCCACUACUGCCUCCCGUAGGAGUCUGGACCGUGUCUCAGUUCCAGUGUGUCUGGUCGUCCUCUCAAACCAGAUACUGAUCGUCGCCUUGGUAAGCUCUUACCUUACCAACAAGCUAAUCAGCCGCGAGCUUCUCUCUAGGCGGAUAAAUAUAAAUCCAUUUCACUCGAAAGCAUAUGGGGUAUUAGCAUUCGUUUCCAAUUGUUGUCCCCCUCCUAAAGGCAAAUUCUCACGUGUUACUCACCCGUCCGCCACUAAAGUUAAAAACUUUCGUACGACUUGCAUGUGUUAGGCAUACAGCCAGCGUUCAUCCUGAGCCAGGAUCAAACUCU
This 781-nucleotide ribosomal RNA is filed under the name uncultured bacterium. RNAcentral's name for it is "partial 16S ribosomal RNA". The record is from RNAcentral.